GGGAAAGUGGCUCAGUGGUAGAGUGCUUGCCUUGCAUGCAUGAGGCCCUAGGUUCAAUUCCUCAGCACCA
Non-coding RNA from Dipodomys ordii (Ord's kangaroo rat), 70 nucleotides. The record is from Rfam. NCBI's taxonomy places the organism in Eukaryota, Metazoa, Chordata, Mammalia, Rodentia, Heteromyidae.